CCUUGGCAGCAACACAGAGUUUGUUGGGUCUUGGAGAGGGGCCUCAUACCAUGAACCAUGAAGCCACCAGGGUUGCACUUGAUUUCAUUAACAAUGGAUAACUUCAAAGUGGUCAUUUCCACCCGUACGAGUCCCGGUGCCGAUUCUGGUCCCUCGUAGCCAGAUAAGAGGGACACUCACCUUCACUUCAGGCAGCUUCAUCAACAGAACAACAGGAAGAGACACUCGGCUUUAAUCCUCAGAGAGGAUCCUCUCAGUCUCAACCCCUCUCCUUUCCUGCUCUCUGAGAUAAUAAGCUCUUCUGAACCUGAGAGGUUCGUGUCCAGGAAACUAAAUGCAGUCUAUCCUUAAACAACA
Molecule: long non-coding RNA, 357 nt
Organism: Notolabrus celidotus (New Zealand spotty)
Lineage: Eukaryota; Metazoa; Chordata; Actinopteri; Labriformes; Labridae
Exons: 2
Source: RefSeq, a predicted model, not a curated record